This is a non-coding RNA of Dothideomycetidae sp. 11243, 95 nucleotides long. The record is from the annotation of a GenBank genome assembly. NCBI's taxonomy places the organism in Eukaryota, Fungi, Ascomycota, Dothideomycetes.
UCCGAUGUGGUGUAGUGGCUAGCAUCCGUCGCUCUCAAGUUCCAUGAUCAGGAACAAGGUCCGACGAGACCGGGGUUCAAUUCCCCGCAUCGGAA